AGACAGCGCUAUCGCGCUUCCUCAGCCCGAACGGCAUCGAAGUAACGACUGGCUCAAACAACUUUCUUAUCUGAAACUCACG
This 82-nucleotide non-coding RNA is filed under the name Legionella shakespearei DSM 23087. RNAcentral's name for it is "Legionella RNA 69". It matches the Rfam family "Legionella RNA 69". The record is from Rfam by way of RNAcentral. Lineage: Bacteria; Pseudomonadati; Pseudomonadota; Gammaproteobacteria; Legionellales; Legionellaceae.